AGCCGGCCUGAGAGGGUGACCGGCCACACUGGGACUGAGACACGGCCCAGACUCCUACGGGAGGCAGCAGUGGGGAAUAUUGCACAAUGGGCGCAAGCCUGAUGCAGCAACGCCGCGUGCGGGAUGACGGCCUUCGGGUUGUAAACCGCUUUUAGUACGGAAGAAGGGCUUCUGCUUGACGGUACCUGCAAAAAAAGGACCGGCUAACUACCUGCCACCACCCGCGGUAAUACGUAGGGUCCGAUCGUUGUCCGGAAUUAUUGGGCGUAAAGAGCUCGUAGGCGGUUUGUCCCGUCUGCUGUGAAAUCUGGAGGCUCAACCUCCAGCCUGCAAUGGGUACGGACAGACUUGAGGGUGUAAGGGAAACUGGAAUUCCUGGUGUAGAGUGGAAUGCGCACAUAUCAGGAGGAACACCGAUGGCCAGGCAGGUCUCUGGGCACUUACUGACACUGAGGAGCGAAGCGUGGGGAGCGAACAAGAUUACAUACCCUGGUAGUCCACGCCGUAAACGUUGGGCGCUAGAUGUGGGGACCUUUCCACGGUUUCCGUGUCGUAGCUACGCAUACC
RNAcentral lists this ribosomal RNA (567 nucleotides) under Agromyces sp. ULMA32. RNAcentral's name for it is "bacterial SSU rRNA". It matches the Rfam family "Bacterial small subunit ribosomal RNA", at positions 285 to 863 of the family's 1533-position model. Lineage: Bacteria; Bacillati; Actinomycetota; Actinomycetes; Micrococcales; Microbacteriaceae. The record is from RNAcentral.